This 532-nucleotide ribosomal RNA is filed under the name Scedosporium boydii. Its description in RNAcentral is "eukaryotic LSU rRNA". The stretch from base 177 to 330 matches the Rfam family "5.8S ribosomal RNA". Lineage: Eukaryota; Fungi; Ascomycota; Sordariomycetes; Microascales; Microascaceae. The record is from RNAcentral.
AUCAUUACAGAGUUACUACUCCAAACCCAUUGUGAACCUUACCUAUGUUCUGUUGCCUCGGCGGCGUCGGUCAGCGCCCCUCUGAAAAGAGGACGAUGCCCCUCCCGCCGGCAGCACCAAACUCUUGAAUUUUACAGCGGAUUACAGUUCUGAUUUGAAAACAAAAAACAAGUUAAAACUUUCAACAACGGAUCUCUUGGUUCUGGCAUCGAUGAAGAACGCAGCGAAAUGCGAUAAGUAAUGUGAAUUGCAGAAUUCAGUGAAUCAUCGAAUCUUUGAACGCACAUUGCGCCCGGCAGUAAUCUGCCGGGCAUGCCUGUCCGAGCGUCAUUUCAACCCUCGAACCUCCGUUUCCUUAGGGAAGCCUAGGGUCGGUGUUGGGGCGCUACGGCGAGUCCUCGCGACCCCCGUAGGCCCUGAAAUACAGUGGCGGUCCCGCCGCGGUUGCCUUCUGCGUAGUAAGUCUCUUUUGCAAGCUCGCAUUGGGUCCCGGCGGAGGCCUGCCGUCAAACCACCUAACAACUCCAGAGGU